CUCAGUUCGGAUUGAAGUCUGCAACCCGACUUCAUGAAGCUGGAUUCGCUAGUAAUCGCGCAUCAGCCACGGCGCGGUGAAUACGUUCCCGGGCCUUGUACACACCGCCCGUCAAGCCAUGGGAGCCGGGGGUACCUGAAGUGCGUAACCGCAAGGAGCGCCCUAGGGUAAAACUGGUGACUGGGGCUAAGUCGUAACAAGGUAGC
This 206-nucleotide ribosomal RNA is filed under the name uncultured bacterium. RNAcentral describes it as "partial 16S ribosomal RNA". It matches the Rfam family "Bacterial small subunit ribosomal RNA", at positions 1287 to 1500 of the family's 1533-position model. The record is from RNAcentral.